RNAcentral lists this transfer RNA (69 nucleotides) under Marmota monax (woodchuck). RNAcentral's name for it is "tRNA.Leu". Lineage: Eukaryota; Metazoa; Chordata; Mammalia; Rodentia; Sciuridae. The record is from RNAcentral.
GGGGUUGUGGCUCAGUGGUAGAGCUCUUGUCUAGCUCAUGCAAGCCUGGGUUCUAUCCUCAGCACCACG